RNAcentral lists this ribosomal RNA (497 nucleotides) under uncultured bacterium. RNAcentral describes it as "partial 16S ribosomal RNA". It matches the Rfam family "Bacterial small subunit ribosomal RNA", at positions 28 to 507 of the family's 1533-position model. The record is from RNAcentral.
GAUGAACGCUGGCGGCGUGCCUAAUACAUGCAAGUCGAGCGAACAGACGAUGAUUUUGCUGCUCGGACGUUAGCGGCGGAGGGGUGAGUAACGCGUGUAUAACCUACUUAUAAGACGGGUAUAACUUCGGGAAAGGGGAUCUAAUAGGGGAGAAUAUAUUGAACCGCAGUGGGCAAUAGUAAGAGACGGUGGUGGUGGCAGGUAUAGAGGGAUCUGGGCGGCAUGAGCUAGUUGUUAAGUUAACGGCUUACGAAGGCAAGGAGGCGUAGCCGACGUGAGAGAGUGAUCGCCCACCUGGGAACUGAGACACCGUCAAGACUCCUGCGGGAGGCAGCAGUCGGCAACCUUCCGCAAUAGGCGAGAACUUGACGCAGCAACGCGGCGUGAGUGACGACGGUCCUCGGAUCGUAAAACUCUCUUAUUAGGGAAGAACAAAUGUCUACGUAACUAUACACGUAUUGACGGUACUUAGUCAGAAAGCCCCGGCUAACUACGUG